GGGCCCGCACAAGCGGUGGAGUAUGUGGUUUAAUUCGAUGCAACGCGAAGAACCUUACCAGGGUUUGACAUCCUGCGAAUCUCUUGGAAACAGGAGAGUGCCUUCGGGAAUGUAGAUACAGGUGGUGCAUGGCUGUCGUCAGCUCGUGUCGUGAGAUGUUGGGUUAAGUCCCGCAACGAGCGCAACCCUUAUUUUUAGUUACUAACUCGUUAGGUUCUCUAGAAAGACUGCCGGUGACAAACCGGAGGAAGGUGAGGAUGACGUCAAGUCAGCAUGCCCCUUAUGCCCUGGGCUACACACGUGCUACAAUGGUUAAGACAAAGAGUCGCGAGCUCGCGAGAGUCAGCUAAUCUCAUAAACCGUGGCUCAGUUCAGAUCGUAGGCUGCAACUCGCCUACGUGAAGGCGGAAUCGCUAGUAAUCGC
This 424-nucleotide ribosomal RNA is filed under the name uncultured bacterium. Its description in RNAcentral is "bacterial SSU rRNA". It matches the Rfam family "Bacterial small subunit ribosomal RNA", at positions 917 to 1345 of the family's 1533-position model. The record is from RNAcentral.